GAUGAAGAACGUAGCGAAAUGCGAUAAGUAAUGCGAAUUGCAGAAUUCAGUGAAUCAUCGAAUCUUUGAACGCACAUUGCGCCCGCCAGUAUUCUGGCGGGCAUGCCUGUCUGAGCGUCGUUUCGACCCUCGCGCCCGGCUUCUGUCGGGGGCGGUGUUGGGGAUCGGCCACACCCUUCAGUGGGAGGCCGGCCCCUAAAUUCCGUGGCGACCACGCUGUAGCCUCCCCUGCGUAGUACUAAAACCACCUCGCAGGCGGAGAGCGGUGCGGCCCGCCGUAAAACCCCCCAACUUUUACAAGGUCGACCUCAGAUCAGGUAGGAAUACCCGCUGAACUUAAGCAUAUCAAUAAGCGGAGGA
RNAcentral lists this unclassified non-coding RNA (360 nucleotides) under soil metagenome. Its description in RNAcentral is "partial contains 5.8S ribosomal RNA, internal transcribed spacer 2, and large subunit ribosomal RNA". The stretch from base 1 to 120 matches the Rfam family "5.8S ribosomal RNA", at positions 35 to 154 of the family's 154-position model. The record is from RNAcentral.